Molecule: ribosomal RNA, 497 nt
Filed under: uncultured bacterium
Lineage: Bacteria
Description: partial 16S ribosomal RNA
Rfam family: Bacterial small subunit ribosomal RNA
Source: RNAcentral
GAUGAACGCUGGCGGCGUGCCUAAUACAUGCAAGUCGAGCGAACAGACGAGGAGCUUGCUCCUCUGACGUUAGCGGCGGACGGGUGAGUCACACGUGGAUAACCUACCUAUAAGACUGGGAUAACUUCGGGAAACCGGAGCUAAUCCCGGAUAAUAUAUUGAACCGCAUGGUUCAAUAGUGAAAGACGGUUUUGCUGUCACUUAUAGAUGGAUCCGCGCCGCAUUAGCUAGUUGGUAAGUUAACGGCUUACCAAGGCAACGAUGCGUAGCCGACCUGAGAGGGUGAUCGGCGACACUGGAACUGAGACACGGUCCAGACUCCUACGGGAGGCAGCAGUAGGGAAUCUUCCGCAAUGGGCGAAAGCCUGACGGAGCAACGCCGCGUGAGUGAUGAAGGUCUUCGGAUCGUAAAACUCUGUUAUUAGGGAAGAACAAAUGUGUAAGUAAAUAUGCACGUCUUGACGGUACCUAAUCAGAAAGCCACGGCUAACUACGUG